CAGCAGCCACGGUAAUACGAAGGGUGCAAGCGUUAAUCGGAAUUACUGGGCGUAAAGCGUGCGUAGGCGGUUUGUUAAGUCUGUUGUGAAAUCCCCGGGCUCAACCUGGGAAUGGCAAUGGAUACUGGCAAGCUAGAGUGUGUCAGAGGAUGGUGGAAUUCCCGGUGUAGCGGUGAAAUGCGUAGAGAUCGGGAGGAACAUCAGUGGCGAAGGCGGCCAUCUGGGACAACACUGACGCUGAGGCACGAAAGCGUGGGGAGCAAACAGGAUUAGAUACCCCGGUAGUCCCUGUCUCUUAUAC
Molecule: ribosomal RNA, 301 nt
Filed under: uncultured bacterium
Lineage: Bacteria
Description: partial 16S ribosomal RNA
Rfam family: Bacterial small subunit ribosomal RNA
Source: RNAcentral